UACGGAGGGUGCAAGCGUUGUCCGGAAUCACUGGGCGUAAAGGGCGCGUAGGCGGCUCGGUAAGUAGGGGGUGAAAUCCUGCGGCUUAACCGCAGGGCUGCCUUCUAAACUGUCGAGCUUGAGCACGGUAGAGGCAGAUGGAACUCCCGGUGUAGCGGUGGAAUGCGUAGAGAUCGGGAAGAACAUCAGUGGCGAAGGCGGUCUGCUGGGCCGUUGCUGACGCUGAGGCGCGACAGCGUGGGGAGCAAACAGG
RNAcentral lists this ribosomal RNA (253 nucleotides) under uncultured bacterium. RNAcentral describes it as "partial 16S ribosomal RNA". It matches the Rfam family "Bacterial small subunit ribosomal RNA", at positions 524 to 776 of the family's 1533-position model. The record is from RNAcentral.